Molecule: ribosomal RNA, 156 nt
Filed under: Lupinus angustifolius (narrow-leaved blue lupine)
Lineage: Eukaryota; Viridiplantae; Streptophyta; Magnoliopsida; Fabales; Fabaceae
Description: rRNA 5_8S_rRNA
Rfam family: 5.8S ribosomal RNA
About the family: 5.8S ribosomal RNA (5.8S rRNA) is a component of the large subunit of the eukaryotic ribosome.
Source: RNAcentral
GACUCUCGGCACCAAAUAUCUCGACUCUGGCAUCGAUGAAGAACGUAGUGAAAUGCGAUACUUGGUGUGUAUUGCAGAAUCCCAUGAACCAUCGAGUCUUUAAAUGCAAGUUGUGCCCGAAGCAAUUAGGUCGAGGGCAUGCCUGCCUAGGUAUUG